Non-coding RNA from Massospora cicadina, 74 nucleotides. The record is from the annotation of a GenBank genome assembly. Lineage: Eukaryota; Fungi; Entomophthoromycota; Entomophthoromycetes; Entomophthorales; Entomophthoraceae.
GCUUUUGUGGUGUAGUUGGUUAUCACAUGCGCUUCACACGCGCAAGGUCUUCGGUUCGAACCCGAACAAAAGCA